This 1063-nucleotide long non-coding RNA is filed under the name Coturnix japonica (Japanese quail). RNAcentral's name for it is "lncRNA (ENSCJPG00005003407.1)". Lineage: Eukaryota; Metazoa; Chordata; Aves; Galliformes; Phasianidae. The record is from RNAcentral.
CUUUGUUUUUAAAUUUUUGUUUCAUUUCUUUCCUAAAUCUUUUUAUCAUCUUAGCUGAAUCUUUACUCAAAUCCCUCUUCUUUAAUUGUGAACCUUGUGAUGCUCACAGUGCCAGGUGAGGCAGCACUGCAGCAUGUCCUCCUGACAUCACUUUUCCACAUCCUUAUAUUUCUUAUUCUUCCACAUCACACACAGCAGAUAUAGUUCUUUCCCCCCUGUUCCCAGUUCCUCAUAGGAACAGUUACUUGUUAGCUUUGUAUGUUAAAGGGAGGCACUGUACUGUCUGGUUUUGCACUACAAAAAGACAGAAUGGUCAUGAUUCAUUUCCCAAAUGAAAACUCAGACUCAAGGCCCCAGUGGAAUUGAAACUAGCCACACUGUAUUUCCCUUCUAUUAGAAAGAAAUAAAAAAUAAUGCUGGCAGAGUGAGUGAUUUGGUGGUUGAAUCACACACUGAUCUGGUGCUCCUGCUGACACUGGCACUCUGUCAAGCUGCAGAGCAGCCAAGGAGCAGAGGCACAACCAACAGCUGCCUUCCCACCCUGGGGGCAGCAAAUCAGGGACUGAUGGUAAAGCUUUUUCCCACUUGAAUGACUAUGGCCUAGUUGGACUGAGAAUAGCUGGCAAACUCAAAAUGUUUUCCUUUAAAUCCCUCUAUAUAUAUUCAUGCCUCCUUUAGGCUGAAUAUACCUUUUGGUGAAAAAUGUUCAACAAAAAUUGCUAAUUGAUGAGUAAACCUAGAGUUAGUUUACUUGUGCUACACAAAACAUCAAGUGCCAGCUGUGCAGAUGCAAAAUAAACAUCAAAAACAGAAAGCUGUGUCGGGAAAGAAUACAGCAGAUGAGCUUGGAACAGCAGAACAAGAUGGAGCUACCUACUUGCUUGCAGAAUCAAUAAAGCCCUUGCCUCUUAGUCUUGAGCAGCAGAGGAGCUAUUGCGACUCACUCAGCGGGAGCAAGAGCUCGGUGUAUUCCCUCUGGUGGGGUCUGAUGGAAAAGUGGCAAGAAUUAGAAGCAUCAGUAAUACAAAACUGCAUGUUUACAAAACAUCAGCUUUAUCAUUAA